GCCGGAGUGUUGGAAUUGGCAGACAAAACGGACUUAAAAUCCGUUGUCCCUUGGGGGACGUGAGGGUUCGAGUCCCUCCUCCGGCA
Molecule: transfer RNA, 86 nt
Filed under: Candidatus Omnitrophota bacterium
Lineage: Bacteria; Pseudomonadati; Candidatus Omnitrophota
Also listed under: 1 other name
Description: Candidatus Omnitrophica bacterium tRNA-Leu
Rfam family: tRNA
About the family: Transfer RNA (tRNA) molecules are approximately 80 nucleotides in length.
Source: RNAcentral